AAUCAACAACAUGCUGGUGACUCUUUGUGCUCUCAUCACUGCUCUAACAUGUGUGAGUGGUGUGACGGUGGUGACACAGAAACCUGUUGUAUCAGUGAGGAAAGGACAGACAGCCACCAUGGACUGUAACCUGGGGACUGUUAC
Pundamilia nyererei is the source of this 144-nucleotide long non-coding RNA. RefSeq lists it as uncharacterized. The record is from RefSeq and is a predicted model, not a curated record. The transcript has 2 exons. Lineage: Eukaryota; Metazoa; Chordata; Actinopteri; Cichliformes; Cichlidae.